GCAUGCCAGUACGUAGAAAUACCAGCAUACUGCAUUACAUUGGCUCCCUGCACUGGCAAUACAAUUGCGAGCCGCAGCUCCCGCUGUUCCCUUCCCUUUGUGUUUUUAAACACAGCCAGGAAACUUAAUGUAUUCGUCAGGGGAGGGGCGGGAUGAGAGCGUUUUUAACCUCCCCGCCAUAAACUUUAAUCGGAUUCCGGGCUGUUGCACGGCAUGGACGCUCGCCUCUUGCUUGCGUCUCCUUCCCCGUUGUCUCCCAUGUCUACUUUUACUACGGUCUGUUCUGCGAGAGCCUCUUUCAAGCGAAUGAGUGAUUUCUUUCUCUUGCCAUGUGCAAUCGCUCCCCCUUCCCUUCCUACCCUCGCUGGCCUCUCUUACACACACUAUGCCUUUCACACGCGGUCUGCACCCCCAGCCCCCCUCCCUUUCUUUCUUUUUUGUAGUGUCUUCACAUGCAAUCUCUCUCUGAAUGUGCAAUGUCUUUCCUGCUCGGGAGUGCUGCGUCCUUCACAGUGGAUUGGUUCCUCUUUCGGAGCAGAGAAUUUCGAGCUAGAUAAUACACCAUAGAAGUUACUGACAGAGCAGAAUUAAUCUGUGUUGGAUAACACUGGUUAAAUCUCACAUGAUUAUAAUUGCUCAUUCUUAAAGUCGUAUUUGAGGAGAGCAUAAAAGAUCUGGCAUGUCUUCAUGAAUCUACUGUGUCAGUUGCCUGUUGAGCAGAAGAGAAAAUAUCCAAGCAAGAUGGCAACUCUGCAGAGUUCUGAAUAAGAACCUUUGAUAUCAUAAUUCAAACACUGUUAUGGAUAAUUGAAUUCUGUGAUGCUCUAUGCCUUUGUGUAAGUUAAUACCAGUAUAUGUUAUUGACUAUACCU
Neopelma chrysocephalum (saffron-crested tyrant-manakin) is the source of this 872-nucleotide long non-coding RNA. RefSeq lists it as uncharacterized. The record is from RefSeq and is a predicted model, not a curated record. Lineage: Eukaryota; Metazoa; Chordata; Aves; Passeriformes; Pipridae. The transcript has 3 exons.